Molecule: unclassified non-coding RNA, 89 nt
Filed under: Aristaeella lactis
Lineage: Bacteria; Bacillati; Bacillota; Clostridia; Eubacteriales; Aristaeellaceae
Description: Gut-1 RNA
Source: RNAcentral
AUGUGAAAUAUCCGACUGACGUCGGAUGUGAAAUAUUUGGCUGAAGCCAAAUGUGAAAUAUUCCGCAUUCGCGGAAUGUGAUAUAAUGU